Molecule: ribosomal RNA, 253 nt
Filed under: uncultured bacterium
Lineage: Bacteria
Description: partial 16S ribosomal RNA
Rfam family: Bacterial small subunit ribosomal RNA
Source: RNAcentral
GACGGAAGGGGCAAGCGUUGCUCGGAAUCACUGGGCGUAAAGGGUGCGUAGGCGGCCGUGCAAGUCUGGCGUGAAAGCCCCGGGCUCAGCCCGGGAAGUGCGCUCGAAACUGCGCGGCUCGAGUGCCGGAGGGGAGAGUGGAAUUCCUGGUGUAGCGGUGAAAUGCGUAGAUAUCAGGAGGAAUACCGGUGGCGAAAGCGACUCUCUGGACGGCAACUGACGCUGAGGCACGAAAGCGUGGGGAGCAAGCAGG